Molecule: long non-coding RNA, 367 nt
Organism: Dreissena polymorpha
Lineage: Eukaryota; Metazoa; Mollusca; Bivalvia; Myida; Dreissenidae
Exons: 3
Source: RefSeq, a predicted model, not a curated record
CCCCGUUACCCCAUAAUAGGAGCCUGAAGUCGCGAUUAUCUCUCGGAGUAGGUGACCCAGAGCGACGAAACUUGGCAGACUUGUUUGGCCCGAUGGGCCACGCAUGCCAAAAGUGCAAUGUGGCGUCUCAGUGCCACCGCUUCCGGUGAAAGUGUCGCCGAAGGUACGCUAACUGGCCCGUAUUUGGCCCCGUUACCCCAUAAUAGGAGCCUGAAGUCGCGAUUAUCUCUCGGAGUAGGUGACCCAGAGCGACGAAACUUGGCAGACUUGUUUGGCCCGAUGGGCCACGCAUGCCAAAAGUGCAAUGUGGCGUCUCAGUGCCACCGCUUCCGGUGAAAGUGUCGCCGAAGGUACGCUAACUGGCCCG